GUCCAAUGAUGAGAUCAAGGCAAGUACAAUGAUACAGUCAGCCCAAGGGAAUGUGGUUUCUUGCCUGCUGUAAUGUGGGUAAUCUUGGUAGUGUGGUGAAGUUCUACUGGAUUGCUGUAAGGGCCCACACACAGUAACCUUGCUAUCUUCUACUAUCUUUGUCCCUCCCAAGAGCAAUGGGUUUGAAUAAGAUGGAGAUGUCAUACAAUGUGUGUAUGUGUGUUUGUCUGUGUGUAAGUCGUAUGAGUGUUUACAUGUCAGCUGGCAAGAACUACAUUCUCUUUAUAAUUGGUCUGGUGGAUAUGAAUUUUGUCUUUGGUAAUCUGAGGGCC
This 332-nucleotide small nucleolar RNA is filed under the name Echeneis naucrates (live sharksucker). Lineage: Eukaryota; Metazoa; Chordata; Actinopteri; Carangiformes; Echeneidae. The record is from RNAcentral.